Molecule: transfer RNA, 72 nt
Organism: Ovis aries (sheep)
Lineage: Eukaryota; Metazoa; Chordata; Mammalia; Artiodactyla; Bovidae
Rfam family: tRNA
About the family: Transfer RNA (tRNA) molecules are approximately 80 nucleotides in length. Their secondary structure includes four short double-helical elements and three loops (D, anti-codon, and T loops).
Source: Rfam
UCCCUGGUGGCUCAGAGGUUAAAGCAUCUGCCUGCAAUGCGGGAGACCUGGGUUUGAUCCCUGGGUUGGGAA